This 301-nucleotide ribosomal RNA is filed under the name uncultured bacterium. RNAcentral describes it as "partial 16S ribosomal RNA". It matches the Rfam family "Bacterial small subunit ribosomal RNA", at positions 509 to 807 of the family's 1533-position model. The record is from RNAcentral.
CAGUCGCCGCGGUAAUACGUAGGGUGCAAGCGUUAAUCGGAAUUACUGGGCGUAAAGCGUGCGCAGGCGGUUUGUUAAGACAGAUGUGAAAUCCCCGGGCUCAACCUGGGAACUGCAUUUGUGACUGGCAGGCUAGAGUAUGGCAGAGGGGGGUGGAAUUCCGCGUGUAGCAGUGAAAUGCGUAGAUAUGCGGAGGAACACCGAUGGCGAAGGCAAUCCCCUGGGCCUGCACUGACGCUCAUGCACGAAAGCGUGGGGAGCAAACAGGAUUAGAUACCCCUGUAGUCCCUGUCUCUUAUAC